AGCGAACGCUGGCGGCAGGCUUAACACAUGCAAGUCGAGCGGGCCCUUCGGGGUCAGCGGCAGACGGGUGAGUAACACGUGGGAACGUACCCUUUGGUUCGGAAUAACGCUGGGAAACUAGCGCUAAUACCGGACACGCCCUUUUGGGGAAAGGCUUGCUGCCGAAGGAUCGGCCCGCGUCUGAUUAGCUAGUUGGUGGGGUAAUGGCCUACCAAGGCGACGAUCAGCAGCUGGUCUGAGAGGAUGAUCAGCCACACUGGGACUGAGACACGGCCCAGACUCCUACGGGAGGCAGCAGUGGGGAAUAUUGGACAAUGGGCGCAAGCCUGAUCCAGCCAUGCCGCGUGAGUGAUGAAGGCCUUAGGGUUGUAAAGCUCUUUUGUCCGGGACGAUAAUGACGGUACCGGAAGAAUAAGCCCCGGCUAACUUCGUG
This 433-nucleotide ribosomal RNA is filed under the name uncultured bacterium. RNAcentral's name for it is "partial 16S ribosomal RNA". It matches the Rfam family "Bacterial small subunit ribosomal RNA", at positions 29 to 507 of the family's 1533-position model. The record is from RNAcentral.